ACUGUUUCAUUCAAUCUGAUUAUCUCAUAUAUGCUCUACUUGUGUCUAUGUAUGUUUCCUUGUCCCUCCGAAUUCAAUCACCAUUUCUA
RNAcentral lists this small RNA (89 nucleotides) under Arabidopsis thaliana (thale cress). RNAcentral describes it as "ATSL022840". Lineage: Eukaryota; Viridiplantae; Streptophyta; Magnoliopsida; Brassicales; Brassicaceae. The record is from RNAcentral.